GACGAACGCUGGCGGCGUGCUUAACACAUGCAAGUCGAACGGAAAGGCCCUGCUUUUGUGGGGUGCUCGAGUGGCGAACGGGUGAGUAACACGUGAGUAACCUGCCCUUGACUUUGGGAUAACUUCAGGAAACUGGGGCUAAUACCGGAUAGGAGCUCCUGCUGCAUGGUGGGGGUUGGAAAGUUUCGGCGGUUGGGGAUGGACUCGCGGCUUAUCAGCUUGUUGGUGGGGUAGUGGCUUACCAAGGCUUUGAAGGGUAGCCGGCCUGAGAGGGUGACCGGCCACAUUGGGACUGAGAUACGGCCCAGACUCCUACGGGAGGCAGCAGUGGGGAAUAUUGCACAAUGGGCGGAAGCCUGAUGCAGCAACGCCGCGUGCGGGAUGACGGCCUUCGGGUUGUAAACCGCUUUCGCCUGUGACGAAGCGUGAGUGACGGUAAUGGGUAAAGAAGCACCGGCUAACUACGUA
Molecule: ribosomal RNA, 468 nt
Filed under: uncultured bacterium
Lineage: Bacteria
Description: partial 16S ribosomal RNA
Rfam family: Bacterial small subunit ribosomal RNA
Source: RNAcentral